RNAcentral lists this ribosomal RNA (497 nucleotides) under uncultured bacterium. RNAcentral's name for it is "partial 16S ribosomal RNA". It matches the Rfam family "Bacterial small subunit ribosomal RNA", at positions 28 to 507 of the family's 1533-position model. The record is from RNAcentral.
GACGAACGCUGGCGGCGUGCCUAAUACAUGCAAGUAGAACGCUGAAGAGAGGAGCUUACUCUUCUUGGAUGAGUUGCGAACGGGUGAGUAACGCGUAGGUAACCUGCCUUGUAGCGGGGGAUAACUAUUGGAAACGAUAGCUAAUACCGCAUAACAAUGGAUGACACAUGUCAUUUAUUUGAAAGGGGCAAUUGCUCCGCUACAAGAUGGACCUGCGUUGUAUUAGCUAGUAGGUGAGGUAAUGGCUCACCUAGGCGACGAUACAUAGCCGACCUGAGAGGGUGAUCGGCCACACUGGGACUGAGACACGGCCCAGACUCCUACGGGAGGCAGCAGUAGGGAAUCUUCGGCAAUGGGGGCAACCCUGACCGAGCAACGCCGCGUGAGUGAAGAAGGUUUUCGGAUCGUAAAGCUCUGUUGUAAGUCAAGAACGGGUGUGAGAGUGGAAAGUUCACACUGUGACGGUAGCUUACCAGAAAGAGACGGCUAACUACGUG